Molecule: long non-coding RNA, 180 nt
Organism: Chelonia mydas (Green sea turtle)
Lineage: Eukaryota; Metazoa; Chordata; Testudines; Cheloniidae
Exons: 3
Source: RefSeq, a predicted model, not a curated record
ACUGUCUGUGUGAUGCUUUUGCCAGGACCAGAGCAGGAAUGCAGGGCAAGCAUCAGAGCAAGAACUUUUAUUUUCUUCAAAGGCACAUGACAAAUCAGCAAGCUUAAGGAAAUCCCUAGAGUGAGCGCACAGCAGGCACCAUCUUCUCCCCAACCUCGAGUAACUGUCAUUCUUUGUUCC